Molecule: long non-coding RNA, 594 nt
Organism: Megalops cyprinoides (Indo-Pacific tarpon)
Lineage: Eukaryota; Metazoa; Chordata; Actinopteri; Elopiformes; Megalopidae
Exons: 3
Source: RefSeq, a predicted model, not a curated record
GGAACAUGCAAAAGAGUGUACUGAGAAGAGGAGGGCAGAGGUGCUGGAAUUCCUUCAAACCACACAGGAGCUCUUCCUAUCUGACAGUUCAUCUGCAGCAGGGAAGCCCCAGUGUCCUGACCACUCCAUGCAGGCGCUGCUAGCCAGCCUUUCUGCUGGAACAGCGCCCCCUGCAGACGUGACCCAGAUACACCAGCUGAAGUCCCUGGUGCUGCUGCAGGACACUGAUCGUCUGACUAAUGCACUGGAGGACUUCCAGCGGAGCUCAACCUUGCCCCCUGAGGAAGCCUCGGUCAUCUGUUCCUUAUUUCACUACUGGCUGACAGACAUUCUGCCCAUGUGGAGAAACCGGCGGUCAAGUGACCAAACCACGCAACAGCUGUGACUUUGAGUUUCUGCCUUGACCAGCGCAGCCCGGCGCUGUUGAAGAGACCUCUUUAUCACAUGGAAGAAUUCCUCUCACUUUGACUGGCACUGAAGGGAGCUUCGGCUUCCUAUUAUCUGAUUUACGUGUCAGACCUGCCUCACUGUUUGACUGUCAGUGAUUACAUUACAUUAUUGUCAUUUUUCUUAAUACAACACAGUUCAUACAAC